UUCCAGCUGACGAGUUGCGAAUGGGACGAUACGCGCGUCCUGGAU
RNAcentral lists this non-coding RNA (45 nucleotides) under Schistosoma bovis. The record is from RNAcentral. RNAcentral also lists the same sequence under 1 other name. Lineage: Eukaryota; Metazoa; Platyhelminthes; Trematoda; Strigeidida; Schistosomatidae.